CAUUGGAUGCAUUCCUCCUGACCAGCUCUAGGACUCGUCCUACAUUGCUCAGGGCUCCAUCGAUAAGGAGGAAGAGCUGCCGUGGGAAGGCGCGAUGCACAGGCUGCCGAUAGACCCAAGAGAGCGCCCCCAACAGUUUGACACAGCAACUACUAACAUAGUGACCACUCUAGACGAAACCUGCUUGAAGAAGAGGUGGACAGCUGGUUCAUGAUCGACCAAAACAGACCCUGGAUUUGCUUGAACCUGAUAUUGCAGUGUCAUGGCAACAAGCAGUAAGGAACUGGACAGAGAUUAUCAUCUAAACAGAAGCACAUCAGUUCACUCACUGGGCUUGCUGGAGCUGAACAGAGGUCGGAUUGUUGAGCAGAUAGCAAUGAUGUUGAGCAUGGUGCGGGUGGGCAUACUCUUAAUGACCACUAACAUUGCCUCCUGUUAAAGAGAUGAAAGCACAAUUACUUAAAGUAAAAUUCAUGCUUAUUUUUAA
Long non-coding RNA from Misgurnus anguillicaudatus (oriental weatherfish), 487 nucleotides. RefSeq lists it as uncharacterized. Lineage: Eukaryota; Metazoa; Chordata; Actinopteri; Cypriniformes; Cobitidae. The record is from RefSeq and is a predicted model, not a curated record.